RNAcentral lists this ribosomal RNA (496 nucleotides) under uncultured bacterium. RNAcentral describes it as "partial 16S ribosomal RNA". It matches the Rfam family "Bacterial small subunit ribosomal RNA", at positions 28 to 507 of the family's 1533-position model. The record is from RNAcentral.
GACGAACGCUGGCGGCGUGCCUAAUACAUGCAAGUUGAGCGAUGAAGAUUGGUGCUUGCACCAAUUUGAAGAGCAGCGAACGGGUGAGUAACGCGUGGGGAAUCUGCCUUUGAGCGGGGGACAACAUUUGGAAACGAAUGCUAAUACCGCAUAACAACUUUAAACAUAAGUUUUAAGUUUGAAAGAUGCAAUUGCAUCACUCAAAGAUGAUCCCGCGUUGUAUUAGCUAGUUGGUGAGGUAAAGGCUCACCAAGGCGAUGAUACAUAGCCGACCUGAGAGGGUGAUCGGCCACAUUGGGACUGAGACACGGCCCAAACUCCUACGGGAGGCAGCAGUAGGGAAUCUUCGGCAAUGGACGAAAGUCUGACCGAGCAACGCCGCGUGAGUGAAGAAGGUUUCGGAUCGUAAAACUCUGUUGGUAGAGAAGAACGUUGGUGAGAGUGGAAAGCUCAUCAAGUGACGGUAACUACCCAGAAAGGGACGGCUAACUACGUG